Molecule: long non-coding RNA, 198 nt
Organism: Cydia splendana
Lineage: Eukaryota; Metazoa; Arthropoda; Insecta; Lepidoptera; Tortricidae
Exons: 3
Source: RefSeq, a predicted model, not a curated record
AUGAAGAGCCCAUCGAGAAAUCAGAGUUGGUUGGAGAAGAGGUGACCAAUGAACUCAUGGAUGUAGAUCCCCUCGUCAAGUCGGAGACGGAUGAUGUUAUGAGUGACGGCGACUUAGCGGCGGGUACUAAAAGGAGGGCUCAAACCAGAAAACCGAAGACAGAACGGAAGAAGCAAAAAACAAGUCGAAUUGAAACAG